AGGGCAGGGGGGUGUCCGCGGAUCCCACGCGCGGUUCCUGUCCUCCUCGCGGUCGCGCAUCCCCGCGCGGUCGCUGGUUGUCGCUCGGGGGUGAUCGCCG
Molecule: small RNA, 100 nt
Filed under: Saccharothrix sp. ST-888
Lineage: Bacteria; Bacillati; Actinomycetota; Actinomycetes; Pseudonocardiales; Pseudonocardiaceae
Description: che1 RNA
Rfam family: che1 RNA
Source: Rfam by way of RNAcentral